Molecule: ribosomal RNA, 1224 nt
Filed under: uncultured bacterium
Lineage: Bacteria
Description: partial 16S ribosomal RNA
Rfam family: Bacterial small subunit ribosomal RNA
Source: RNAcentral
CACCAAGGCCCUGAAUCAGUUAAGAUUCGGAGGAACGUUCCCCAAUGGACUGGAACCGUCCAAUCCCUACGGAGCAGCAGUAGAAUUUGUCAUGACGAGGUCGAACAGCAGUAGCGUGCAGAUUGACGCCUAUGGUGUUAACUGCUUUAUACAAGGGAUAACGAGGGAACGUGUCCCUUUUUGUUAAGUACCUUAUGAAUAAGGACCGGCUAUUCCGUGCAGCAGCCGCCGUAAUAACGGAAGGUCCCGGCGUUAUUCUGAUUUUAUGGGUUUAAAGGAGCGCAGGCUGAUGAUUAAGCGUGAUUGUGAAAUGUAGCCGCUCAACGGCUGAACUGCGUCGCGAACUGGUUAUCUUGAGUGAGUUCGAUGUUGGCGGAAUUUCGUGGUGUAGCGGUGAAAUGCUUAGAUAUCACGAAGAACUCCGAUUGCGAAGGCAGCCAACAAGGCCUUUACUGACGCUAAAGCUCGAAGGUGCGGGUAUCGAACAGGAUUAGAUACCCUGGUAGUCCGCACGGUAAACGAUGGAUGCCCGCUGUUUGCGAUAUACUGUGAGCGGCCAAGAGAAAUCGUUAAGCAUCCCACCUGGGGAGUACGCCGGCAACGGUGAAACUCAAAGGAAUUGACGGGGGCCCGCACAAGCGGAGGAACAUGUGGUUUAAUUCGAUGAUACGCGAGGAACCUUACCCGGGCUUGAACUGCAGGAGAACGAUACAGAGAUGUUGAGGCCCUUCGGGGCUCCUGUGGAGGUGCUGCAUGGUUGUCGUCAGCUCGUGCCGUGAGGUGUCGGCUUAAGUGCCAUAACGAGCGCAACCCUUUUCAUUAGUUGCCAUCAGGUAAUGCUGGGCACUCUGGUGAUACUGCCACCGUAAGGUGUGAGGAAGGUGGGGAUGACGUCAAAUCAGCACGGCCCUUACGUCCGGGGCUACACACGUGUUACAAUGGGGGGUACAGAAGGCGGGAUCAAUGCAAAUUGGUUCAAAUCUUAAAAGCCCUCCUCAGUUCGGAUUGGGGUCUGCAACCCGACCCCAUGAAGCUGGAUUCGCUAGUAAUCGCGCAUCAGCCAUGGCGCGGUGAAUACGUUCCCGGGCCUUGUACACACCGCCCGUCAAGCCAUGAAAGCCGGGGGCGCUUGAAGUCCGUGACCGCAAGGAUCGGCCUAGAGCGAAACUGGUAAUUGGGGCUAAGUCGUAACAAGGUAAAUUCACUGCCCGUUGGAUCCCCCCU